CGGCUCAUCUCCCCCCACCUGCCGUCCACCACCUAAGACAGCAGACCCAGACAGGAAAGGAAAGAUAACAGACCCAACUUCCCCACCUCAAACUACAUCUGGCCGCACCUUUGGACCUUCCACUUCCGGACCACCACAACUUCUAUACCCCCUCUGAGAAGUUGCAGGAACAGAGGGUAUCUUCAGGUCACUCACAGGACCUGGCUGAUAUCCCUGACCUCGUGAGCUUGGCUGCUGAAGAGUGACGGUCUAGAGAGUCAGGAAGCCCCUUGGACAAUCACCAGGACUGAGCUCCGGAACUCACAGACAAGAUGGAUUGCUCAUGUCCUUCUCCAUCACUUCUCGAUGAAUCCACUCCUCUGCUGUGCUUGAAUCCAGAAUUGAGGCCUGAAAGGCACAAUUGUGAUCAGAGUUUGCCUGAAGCCUACUGAGAAUAAGGCAUCAGAAAAGAAAUGCCACUUCUGUCCUCAAACAUGCUGCAGUAGGGCUGUAAGGACCCCCAACACAGGCUUUUCCUACCCCUCUCACAACAAGAAGCUCUGGACUUCUGUGUGGACAUACUACAGCCAACUUGAGAGCUUGAUGGCAGAGAGGGUAGGCAAAAACCCAUGGCCCAGCCCUACAUACUCCAUCUGGCGUUCCUCCCAGGACUCUGCCUGCUAUCCAAGCACUACCACCAGAUCCAGACCGAAGUCAGCCAAUAUAGAAAGGUCUACUGAUGCUGGAUGCACAAGCCCAAACAUCACAGACAAAAACCACCCUUCCCAGCCAGUGCAAAGCUUUGCUACUCUCACGGUGUGUGGUCUCCUCAGGUAGGCCCAUCCUCAACAUGAAUCUCUGUUCCUGCUGAUACCA
Long non-coding RNA from Nycticebus coucang (slow loris), 855 nucleotides. RefSeq lists it as uncharacterized. The transcript has 3 exons. The record is from RefSeq and is a predicted model, not a curated record. NCBI's taxonomy places the organism in Eukaryota, Metazoa, Chordata, Mammalia, Primates, Lorisidae.